RNAcentral lists this ribosomal RNA (497 nucleotides) under uncultured bacterium. RNAcentral's name for it is "partial 16S ribosomal RNA". It matches the Rfam family "Bacterial small subunit ribosomal RNA", at positions 28 to 507 of the family's 1533-position model. The record is from RNAcentral.
GAUGAACGCUGGCGGCGUGCCUAAUACAUGCAGGUCGAGCGAACAGACGAGGAGCUUGCUCCUCUGACGUUAGCGGCGGACGGGUGAGUAACACGUGGAUAACCUACCUAUAAGACUGGGAUAACUUCGGGAAACCGGAGCUAAUACCGGAUAAUAUAUUGAACCGCAUGGUUCAAUAGUGAAAGACGGUUCUGCUGUCACUUAUAGAUGGAUCCGCGCCGCAUUAGCUAGUUGGUAAGGUAACGGCUUACCAAGGCAACGAUGCGUAGCCGACCUGAGAGGGUGAUCGGCCACACUGGAACUGAGACACGGUCCAGACUCCUACGGGAGGCAGCAGUAGGGAAUCUUCCGCAAUGGGCGAAAGCCUGACGGAGCAACGCCGCGUGAGUGAUGAAGGUCUUCGGAUCGUAAAACUCUGUUAUUAGGGAAGAACAAAUGUGUAAGUAACUAUGCACGUCUUGACGGUACCUAAUCAGAAAGCCACGGCUAAUUACGUG